This 19736-nucleotide long non-coding RNA is filed under the name Malus domestica (apple). Its description in RNAcentral is "long non-coding RNA (MDOM_LNC001057)". Lineage: Eukaryota; Viridiplantae; Streptophyta; Magnoliopsida; Rosales; Rosaceae. The record is from RNAcentral.
CAAACCCAAUCAACCAAUAUCAGCUCCUCCGGCAGGGCUUUUGGUUCAAUGGGUCUCCUCCCACACACCAGCUCCAGCAGGAGAGCACCAAGAGCAAACACAUCCGAGCUCGGAGUCGGUUUUCCGGUCCGAGUCAACUCCGGAGCGAGGUAACCCAGUGUCCCAGCAACCCUAGUUGUUGUAGGGUUUGCUCCAUGCUCAUACAAUUUAGCAAGACCGAAAUCUCCAAGCCGUCCGUUCAUCUCAGAAUCCAAAAGAACGUUUCCUGCUUUUAUGUCCCUAUGAAUCACAGUCUGCUCCCAACCUUCGUGCAAAUACAAUAAGCCAGAAGCUACAUUUUGAGCUAUCUUGAACCUCUGUUCCCAGCUCAAAAUUGCUUUUGGCUUCUCAAAUAAAUAUUUAUCCAAGCUCCCAUUAGGCAUAAAAUCAUACACAAGCAGCAAAUCUCCGCGCCGGCGACACCACCCCAACAACUGCGCUAAAUUCCUGUGCCUGAGACGGCCAAUGGUGGCGAUUUCCGACACGAAUUCCUGCAGACCCUGCCUCGACUCGUUCGAAAUUCGCUUAACCGCCACUUGGGUUUCUGAAUUCGGCAAUGUCCCUUUGUAAACCUUACCAAAUCCACCAAACCCGAUCACCUCUUUAUCCCUGAACCCUCUGGUGGCCUGCUUCAGGUCGUUGUACCUGAAUCUAUGAGGCCCAAUGUCGAGCUCCCACGGCUCGAUCACCUCGGCGUUCUUGAUCCUGUGAACAAUGUAGAAGCCCAAUCCGGCGGCCAAGAUAAAGAAAACAAGAACAGAAAGAGAAACGCCAACGAUCAGCGCUGAUGAAUGCUUCUUUUUACGGCGGGGAAGUUUAGGCAGAGCUUCUAAAUCCAGAGAUUUGGCUUCUCCGUUCAUCUUAAAGCUCCAACCGGAGACGUAGUGGGAGCUGGCAAGCAACCCGGUCGAAGCAGAGAACCCAACGUACAUAAAAUCUUUCAAAAUUGGAGAAAGAUCGACAUCGAAUGUUAAAAUCGGGGAUCUGGGUUUGAUCGAAUAGGGUGAAAGCAUGACAGUGACUUGAUUUUUCACCGAAUCGUAAUCGACCCAGGCCUGGAUCGGCAGUCCACUCUUGAGAUUGAGGUUCUCUUUCGUCGAAUUUCCACCGCUGAAAAACCCGGCUGGGGUCGAUUUGUUGGAAGCCAGGGUGUUGAUAUCGAUUCCGACAUGGUUGUCGUUGAUGUCCCCGAAUUCGAAGUCCUUGACUGUGUCGAAUUCGACGGCAAAGAUGUGGUUGGAGAAGUUGCCGACGACGGUGGAGUUGAGGAUGCCGAGGUACUGGCUGGGGAGGGAUCCCGGGAGCGAUUUCGACGGCGAGAUUAUGAAGGCAAGGCCGUGGCCGCCGAGCUUUGGGUACUGCGGGACGAUGGUGAAUACGAAGGAGGUGGAGAAGGAAAAGGCUUUGCCGUCGGUAGAGCUUUUGAAUCGGACUGGGGCGGAGUAGAAGGCGUGGCCGAGGACUCUGAGAGUGUCGUUUGUGAGCUUUAGCAUGCCGUUGGGCUCGAUUGAUGCGACGCCGUUUAAGCUCAUGUUGCUGCUGUUGGAGACGCCAUUGAAGCCGUUUAAGUAGAGCUCUUGGUCGAGCUGGGUUUUUGUUGGGUUUGGGAGGAAGAGGAGGAAAACCCAGCAAAGUAUGAGUCUUUGGAAUCCCAUAGGAAGUAGAGCCGUAGAGGUCGACUCUUUGCUGGGUCUCUAUUAAGCACAUGGCAAUGGAGUUCAGUACCAAAUAUAACUAAAAUUUCACCUUUAAUUUUUAAAAUAUCAUAUAUUUUUAAAAUAAACUUUAAAAUCUCUCAAAAAAAAAAAACAAAAUAAACUUCAAAAGACUUAAGUGCCUUCAACUUAUGUGGGCUCCUGGAAUGUUCUCUCCGUACCCAGUAAAUUAGUAAUUGUAAAAUUUACAUAUGCAGAUGGGAAUUUUUCUAUCCUUUCCUUUUUAUUUUUUUGUAUGCUUUUUUUACUUUUAGAGUUUUGGAUCUUGAUUAUUUCCACAUUUCCCAAUCCAAUAAGUAGAAAGAACAGUUUUUCGUUUUGUUCGUGACGCAUUUUUAAAGGCAAAUGUGGGCGGGUCAAUUGGGUUCGCGGGAUAAAGAAUCACCUCAUCAAUCAUAGUAGAAAAUGGUUUGAGAGCGCGUUUACUAAUCCAUAAUUAGAUUUAGGGGAAUUGAAUUAAGGAGGAAUUAGAAUAAGCGAUAAUUGGAAUGAGCUGGAAUCAGAAUUAGAUUCAUGUUGAAACUGUUUACCAAAAUUGUCUGAAAUCGGAGUAGAAAUGACAUUGAUCUAUAUAAAUUGUUUACUAAUUCAUAUGAAUCGAAAUAAAAUCUAAUAUAAUUACUAAAGUACCCAUGCUUAACUAAUCUAUUUUAUUUGCUAAUUAUUUUUGGUAAAACUUUUACUCUUUCAUUUUUUUUUAUUUUUUAGAGAGAAUUUUUUUAAGUAAAACUUUUAGUACAAUUUAAUAUGAAAGAAUAUUUUUUAUUUGCGUCUACAUAUUUGAGAAGAUUCUUAAUCACCCUAAUUUAUUUCCUCUUCUCUUUCUCCCCCUCUCCCUAGUCUCUUUUAGUAGCCGCUCUCGCUUGACCAAAACGCUCUCACCCACACCAUCCUCUCCAAUACCCACCACCACUACCGUCUCUCCUCAUUCCUCUCCUCCCCCAUCCUCUUCUCUCUCACCCUCCACGGCCUCAACUCACUCCCCCUCAUCCACAAGAUUAUCCUCAACGCCAACCACGUUCUCUCUCAUCCUUCUUCCAUGCCGUUCGUGGAUGUUCACCAAAUCCUCGUUGACAAACGCCCUGGGGAAUAAGGGUCUGCCAUUCACACCAAUCCAAGCAAUCAAUUUCUGACUUGCAGCCCUAAAUUGGUUUGCAACAUUUGCAUAAAGAAAGGUCUGCCGUUCUAGGACUUGUUCCAUAAGAACAUGACUCGGCCCGGCGUUCCGCCCGGGUUUGCAGUGUGUAAGGGCGGUGUCGUGGUGGUGGUCAAGGUGUAAGGAGUCGGCAUAGGAGAAACGAAGGAGAGGGUGCGCUAUUGGUGGGUGCAAGGGUAUUUUUGGGUAGAAAUGUUUGAUUCCAGAGGGAGGCUUCCUCCGGGAAUUCAAUUACCACCUCCAUGUAGGUAAUUGAAUUCUGAAAGAUUAAGGAAUUCGAUUCCGGAUUUUAAGUGGAUCCCAUUUACUUUUUCAUUCCCUACAUGUUAGUAAACGCCGAAAUGCUUCGAGUGGAAUGGGAUUCCGUUUCUUUCUAUUCCAUUCCCGUUUGGUAAAUACGCCCUGAGUUCAAUUAAUUGACUCGAGUCAAAUUGAAUCUGGAUCCUUUUUGUGAGGAUUCCGGAGAUUCGUGAAUCAUACAUCAUGCGAUCAGAAAUUAUUUUAAAUAUCAACACAAAUAGUACCUGACAAAAACUAACUGCACGAUGUACGAUAAACAGACACAAUUUACGGAUCUCUAGGAUUCUCACCAUGAUGACCCAUCCCUAAUUUUCUAUGUCAUUUCCUUCCCAAGUAUAUAAAAUGACGAUUAUCCCCUUGUUGGCAAAGUGGAACUUGACGUGGACGUUGUUAUUCAGCUUUUAAUUUAAUAAUUCGUUACUAUUCAUCCAAAGAAAAAUCAGAUGGAUUACUAUUCAUAUGAAGAAAAAUCAGAUGAAUUACUAUUCAUAUGAAGAAAAACGGAUGGGUUAGUAUUCAUGCAUAGUAUUUUCACUAUUCAUUUGAGGAAAAUUUGUAAAAUGAAUAGUGUUGCUACAGUAAUCUUUCCAACUUUAAAAAUCAAUCAUUCUCACCCACCAUGCCUAUCGAUUAAUCAUUCUCCUUAUUUUAUUUUACUCAUUAAUUAGACAUUCUCUCUCUCAGCUUCUCGUUCUCUCUCUCUCUCUCUCUCUCUCUCUCUCUCUCGUCGUGUCUCCCUCUUCCCUCUGCAAUACAGACACCAUCAAAACACUCCUAGCAUCCCUAGAAACAUGAAUCCAACCUAGGGUUUUUGAAAAUUAGAGUCCAACUGCGAGUCCUACAUCCUCCAUUGAAGCCGCGACUUUCCCGGCCAAUUUCUCGUCUAUUCCAGCCAAGCUGAGGUCUCUAACCAUCAUAUUUGGAUUCCUCUCGUUGAGUAGAUGACUUUUCAUAUAUAGAUUGUCGAUUUUGGUUAAGAAUUGACAAAGUUAUGGACGUCUAAAGUUUUCCAUUUUUUUGGCGAGUUCCCCAGUUUUCCCUCGGACCAGUUACGUUUCAGACCAUUUUCUAGCCAUCUCUAGCAACCAUUGGGCUUUCAAAUAGGUAUAAUAUUGUUCUACACUUUCCUAGAUUCAUUUUGAUAUAUUAUGGGCAAAAUUUGGUUAAGAAAUGAACUCGUUAUGACCAUUUGAUAUAUAUUAAUAUGACUUAUUUUUAGCUACGUCUUCUGGAACCUGUUUUUAAUCUCACUUUACUCUUUGUAACUAAAAAAUUGUCACUUUACUCCUUAAAAAUCAAAGUUCGCUUCACUUCCUUUUGAACUCGAUUUUGAUCCUAUUUACCCCCUGAAACUUGAAAGUCGUCUCUAUAAAAAUCAAAAUUCACUCCACAUUGCCUUAGAUCUAUUAAUUUCUUAUGUCGAUUUGAUAUGAGUGUGACAAGCUAAUCAAUUUAUUUUUUAUUUUUUUCGUCUCUUUAAUUUCUUUCAAAUUUAAUAUUCUCUAAUUGUUGAAUGUUAAUGCAUAAUGGAGAUUUAUAAUCAAAUUUAUUGGACUUGUGGCAUUGUCUUAUUAGGUGCUGGGUGCCACAUAUGUUUUUGGAGGCGACAUAUAAGUUUCAGGGAGAAGAGAUAGUUCAUAAUUCAAAGUGAAAAGAAUUUUGAAUUAAGGAGUAAAAUAGUAAUUUUUGAGUUAUAGAGGGCAAAAUGAGAUCAAAAAUUUUUUUUUAGGGGGCAUAGCCAAAAUAAGCCUCUUAAUAUUAACAAUGGACAAUUUCCUGCUGCUUGAAGCCCUGCAGCUAGGGGUGGGCAAACGGGUACAUGAACCGCGGGUAGGGGCGGGUAAUUCAGGUUUGGGGCGAGUCCAAAAUUUCUAAACACAAAACGGGACGAGGCGGUUCGGGUAUAUGAAAUUAUCGGGGUGGGGCAGGUCUUAAAAUAGGAGGGAACGGGCCCUCAGCUCGGCUCGUUUCUUUUCCUCAUCCCUAGUCUUCUCAAUCUCUCAUCCCUGACUCUUUUCAUUUCACUCAUACCUCGAGACCUCCUCCUAACUCGCUCACAGCCUCCUACUGUCCCAGCUCCGUACGCCACCACCAUCAUCGUAAGACCUCAAUCUCUCCUGAUUCACUCAUGUCUUCCUCGCUUUGUCCGUUGCCAUCAUCAUAGGCCUCGAUCUCUCCUGACUCACUCUCUGGAAAUCACUCUCUCUAACGAACUCAAAGGGACAUACGAAGUCAAACAACUCGAAACGACGUCUCCUCUGUCUAACCCAUAUUUGUAGGGCACGACUAUACUCAUAGUCCUCUUUAGUUUUAAGGUAUUACAUUUUAGGAUUUAGGAUUGAAAAUUAAAUUAGGGUUUUCUAGAUUUAGGGAUUUUGUUGGGUUUUUGAACCUUGACUUAUGUUAUGUUCCAAUUUCAAAUCUUUUAUUGAAUUGAAUUUGAAUCGAUUGAGUUUGAAAGUUCUGUUGAAUUAAAUUUAAUUUGGGUAGAAGAAAAGGUAGAUCUGAGUAGGGCAGUGUCGAAUCUCAUUGUGGGUGGCGAUUUGGAACUGGGUUUGGUGGGUUUGGGUCUAAUGGUGAGGUGGGCAUGGGCGAAGACGACAUUGAGUGGCGGUGGUUCGGGCGAUGCUAUUGAGUUAUAGAAGAAUACGAAGGAGGGGGUGUGGGCAUGGGUGGAUAUCGCAAUCUCAAUUGAAUUUUUUCUGGUUUUGUUUGUGAUUAAUUGGUUGUUUGUGAUAGUUAGUGAUGGAUUUUGACAUGCCCAUUUGAUUGUAUCAAAUUCAAACCGAUUGAAUUGUAUCCUAGGAAAAAAAACACAAAGGAACUGUGGACCUGUCCCGUUUCAACCAGGUCGGGUUAGGUCCGGUUCCUAUAUUAGAAAAUGUUGUCCCCGGCCUGCCCUGGCCCGUUUCUCUUAAGCCCGGGUUCAGUCCAGUCCCUUCGAAAUUGUGCCUAGCCCGGUCCGUGCACACCCCUACCUGCAACUGUACAACGAGUACCAGCAAUACAAAUAGUACAACUAGUACCUGCUAGGCUGCUACAAAUCCAUUUGGAACGCUCCCUCUAGUGCCUCAGAUGUCAAUUGGUUGCGGUGGAACAAUUCCAUAUGGAAUUUCGAGCAUGCUUGUUGUUAGAUUUGGCAUUCAUGUCGUGUUUUCUGUGUUUAUGUAGUUUUCGUGUAACACCUGUUAAAAUAAACAGGUAAUAAGACUCAACCCAAACUCAUCCCGUUAAUAUUAACGGGAAAUAUGACUGACCUGUUAUCCGUUAUAAAAAAUAUAUUUGAAACCAACAAUACUCAAAUGAAAAACAUAAUAUUAAAUUAGUAUAUACAUACCACAUUAUCACAUAAAUAUUAUUUUCAAAACAUAAAAUCACAUUUAUCUUUCAAGUAUCACAUAUAUAUUGAAAAAAUAUAUAUAAACGCCCGUAAUGAUAAGUUUUACAACUUUUGUGAAGGGCUCAAGUUCGAAAUUGCCACUAUAAUAACAUAAACUAUAUAUCAAAAUUUAACCGUUAAUUGUCGUUCACAUUUAUGCUCGAUUAUUCCCACCAAAUUUUAUUUUUUUAGAUUUUUUGUUUGAAAACAUGAUCUUUUAAAGGGUGCAUGAAGAUGCGGUUCGGAUAAUUGAUAUGACGUUUAGAGUUUUACUAUUAGUGAAAAUAUUGCUCGAAAGUAUAUAAAGUCUCUAGAAAUUAUAUAACAUCGACUUAUUUUCAAUUAACUGUAAAUAUCUGAAUGUGAUAUCAAUGAUCCGAAUCGUUCAUUUUUCUACCUCUGCUAAAAGAUAAUUGUGGAGCUGAAAAUAAUCAAGAAAAUUAUAAAGGUGACACGUGGACUUGUGGGUUAAAAUGAUAAAAUUACCCUCCAGGCAUACUGGGAUUCCUACACGCACACAACGGAUAAUAACGGCUCAAUCAAGAAAGAGUCAAAGGUGAUCAAAAUGAUAUUUAUUCAAAUCUCUUUCAUCAAUCCUCAUCAAAUCCUUAUUCAAAAAGUAACUCAUAAAACUACUUAUUUAAUUUGGAAUUAAUUAUCAUGUUAAUUGUAAAAUAUUAUUUCACAUACUAUCUUGCAAUUAUUGUCCAAUUACACCAUAUAUAAUCGGUCAAUAUUCUUCAAAUAGGACUAGCCACUUCUGUAUAAAUAUCCCUAUUAUUCCAUUAAAAAGUUAAAUCAUUUACUACCCACAAAUUCUAAAAUCGUGAGAACCCGUUUUUGGUUAGGUUUCUGUGGAGUUUUAAAAUCAGAAAAUAGGAUCCUUCCCCACUUCCAUCAGCCGGCCUUCUCUAUUUUUUUCUACAAACAUCAUCAUGACUUUCAGCGGCACGAUCGUUACCUUCCACUAUUUUUAAACUUUCUCACAACUCCCUAACUCUCUUUUUCCCCACUUUCUUCCCUCAUGCCGUGUCCGUCUCUCUUUCUUCAGUGCUCAAUGUUUAUUGUUUUUUAUUAAAAGUUUUGGACCACCUUACUUCCUUCCACUCACAAAUUUUAGUAUAUUUUACUCUCUAUUCCCACUGACUUCCACUCAACUCUCCCCCCCCCCCCCCCACCCCUUUUUAUUUUAUUUUAUAUUUUCUGCUAACUCUCCCUCCCUCUAUUUACAUUUCUCUCACUUCUCUCCUUCCCUCGAACUCUCUCAUUUCCUCUGCAUGCAGAGAGCUCCGAGAGCCCCAAAAACAAGGAGCUGCUCCUCCAUUUGGUUAGUAAGCAUCCAGGAACAUCCGUUAAAAUUAGGGGUUUGGUGAGUUGGUUGUCUUGUCAAAUCUCGGAUUAUCAAUGUGAGUGGUUUAUGUAAUGUGUUGCAAAUUAUACUUAUUUGCAAAUAUCUUUAUUUCAAGUCAAGUACGUUGGAUUUGUAGAAAUGCUUAGUAUGUUGGAUUUGUAGAAAUGCUUUUGGAAUUAUUAAUAUAGUGAUAUGUGGAUAUUUGGAAUUGUUCAUGGAGCAUGAGAAUUUUAGUGUUACAUUAUUCUGAGAAAUAAAUGUAAACUGCACACGAAGACAUUAGGGCAGAAUGAUCAAUAGGAAUCAUGUGAUGAGUUACUAUUUAUGAAGGAUUUAAUGAACACGAAAAUGGAUGAUGUGAUAUGGCACUACGUGCAUAAUGACUUGAUAUUAUUAUUGUAUUUUCUAUAGUGACUAAAAUGACAUUGCUUGACUGUCAUAUUACAUAUUCUACUCACUUAGAGACUUGUUGCUCACCCUUCACCCUUUUAUUUUACAGAUGAGUUAUCUGACAAGACAGGUACUAGACGAGCUGAGAUUGUGUUAGAUAAGGAAUUUAAGAGUUUUUCUUAUUUUUGUACUUUGUAAGGAUUUGUAAUAAUUACUUGUAGAAGAGAACCUUUGUUUUACGUUUAUGAUAGUUUUACUUUUAUUCACGCACCGGGCGUGGGGUUCCGCCGACUCUGGAUUCGGGACGUGACAAAAAUACAAUCUUUUCAAAAUUUUAAGUUUGGCAUAGGAGAUUCUUUGGUCAAAGCCCCCCAUUCAUCAUGGGCGCGUGAGGCUUUAGGCUUUAAUCUUAGGUUUUAUUAUUUUGCAGGUACAUUUUCGUCAAAGGAGAAGAUGACGGAAAUUUGCAUCCACAAUAAUGUUUAAAAAAAUCUAAAAAAUGAAUUUUAGUGAGAAGAAUAAAGCGUAAAUGACAAUCGACGGUUAAAAAUAAAAAUCUAAGGUUUAUGGAUUAUGGUGAGAAAGUUAUAAAGCUUGUUAUUACGAGUGAUAGCUUCUACAAUAAUUAUUAUUAAUUUUGCACUCAAAUAAAAAAUAUUAUUCAUGAACGUUUCUAAAUCUAAACUAUGAUGUAACCAUCGUUGCGCGUGGAGGAUGUAAUCACGAAUGUUUAUAUAUUAUUUCACAUUUUUCACACUUAUACAUUAAUUAUUAUGAAUUUGUUAAUGUGUUUGGUAUUUUUCAAGUACUUUGAUAUUUUUGUUUUUAAAUGUGCUUUAUAAUGUUUUAAUCUCAAUUUUAAGAGACUAAAACAUUUAUGAGUAUGACUGUAUAAGAGAGUGAAAAUCUUUGUUAAGUCGUUGACUUUAAAAUUGAAAGUCUGUCUUUUUGCCUAUACUAAUACUAUACUAGUUGAUUUGAAUUUUGGACAACCGUUCAAGUAAAAUUUAUCCUAGUAAUGAUAAUAAGAAACUCUCAUAAUGGAAAUAAAUAAAUAAAUAAAAAUUAAUUUUUUUUUAACUUAUAUAGAAUAAUAAUACAUUAAUAAUACAAUAAAACAUAUUUAAUAUACAAUAUAUACAUUAUGGCUAGAGUUUUUAUCAUGAAUAGCCAAAAUUUAGACUCUAAUUUCACAAAUGUCAAUUUUUAUAAUAUCUUUCAAAUAAAUAAGAAAACCACCUUGAACAAACCUAAGUACCCUCAUAAUAAAAUCAAAUUACAACCAUAAACUAAAAGUUGUUUGAUCUUAUGUGUUUGUUCAAAAAAUGGAGACAGUUCAAAAGAAGAAAAAAAGAUGGAAACUUCAGAUGUCACGCCCCGAUUCCAACAUUCGUCUAGGAUCGACGUGUGACGAUCAAGUGCAGGGGGUGCGAGCAGAUACAAACAAUAUAUACAAAUGAAUACUAGUAUUGAAAUGAACAAUAUUUACAACUUGGUAGGGUUUUGUCAUAAAUAUAUAAUUGUACAACAAAGGUAACGAUUGUAGGCUCCCAAUUACGUCCUGCUUGCACUUACACGUUUGUAUUGACACGUAUUAUCCGUGUAACGACCCAUCCCAAAAAAUUACAAUUUUUUAUAAUUUUAAAAUGUGAAAGUACGAAAAUGCCCUUCAAGGUGAAUGUGUUGACAUUGUUUGACCGCCUUGUUGUGUCACGUAAGGUCCAUUUUCUUGGCAUAUCCUCUUAGUACUCGUCGUGAGGAACACGUGGGCGCAAACGGAAUCGAAUUUGAAGUUAUAAUAAAAGAGUUAUUAACGAACGAAGUUAAGGGCAAAAUGGUCAUUUGACCAUAAAUUUGGAAGGCUCCAAAUUUUGCUGAAGUAGUUAGAUGAUGCCACAUGUGUGGCUGUGAUGGAAAGAAUAGGAGAGAAAGGAGGGGGUGCUGCCCAAUCGGGAAUGAGGAGAGGAGAGAGUGACCAAUCAGAAGAGAUAACAAAGAGGGAAAGGAAGGAAGGGAGAACCGACCGACCCAACGACUUCCAUGGUUUCCAACGCCUUUCACAGCUGUUUCCAGUCGAAUUAAAGCCACUCAUCACUUAAGAAACACUCCACGACCAUCCCUCUACCAAUUCCACACUAAAAUUGAAGGAAUUAGGCUCGGAUUCUUAAUGAACCACACCAUUGGGUGUGGUGGUUCCACAACGGCGAUCCAUCAAUCCUGAAGCUAACUUCGUCAACCACCACCACCAAUAGACUUCCCUUAACCCAGGAGCAAGGCCCAAGCAUUGGAUGAGGCGUCGGAGUUCGUUUAGGCAUCGAAUUGAGAACACUCAUUUCUAGGGUUUCUAACGGAUCGAGGCGUUUGUAGGCCAUUUCCCGACCAAAUUGGACUUCGGCCCAGGUAUGGAAGUUGUUCCUCUCAUUGAGAUUUUCAUUCCUAUAAAAUUUGGUGAUUUUUGAAGUUGGUCAGAAUUUGUGGGUUCUGUUCCCCGAAAACCGCCGUGUGUGGCGGCGAUGCGUGGGGGGAAACUCAAGGUCUCUUUAGGUCUUUCGACGUGCCGAAUUCGAAUUCGUAAUCCGUUUUUCCAAAAUUUAUCAUUUAGGUAUAGUUUUACCAAAUGAUCUCAAAUUGUGGUUUGGUGCAUCGGUGGGAAGUGACUCCAUCCUCGCUAGUUCAAGCAUUUCCCGGGCAACAAAAUAUUUGUAAGUGAACCCCUUCUUAACUUGCAUGGUUUUAUAAAAUAUUAGGUUUGCAUGCAUUGCAUAUUUCAUGAAAUGAGCUUGUUUUCUAAUAUGUUUUAUGGAUUUCUAUAUUCAUGCUUUUUGAAGAACUUAUGAUUUAUUUAAAUGCUUUUACGAGAUAUUUAGGACUUAUCGAAAUUACGUUUUAAAGAAGAUUAUGAAUGAUUGGAUUUUCGAGGGAUUUACGAAUAUGACUUAUUUUACGGAUUUAUGAGUAUGUGCUAUCAUGGAUUGAUGAGAUAAGGUUUUGAGCUUAGAGCUCCGAAUUUUGAUAUGAGAUUUUUGAGAUAUGUUUUCUGUACGUAUCUAGCGAGUUAUCAUACAGCACAUCCACACAACACGGGUAUGUAGAUGUCUAUGGCCAUAUGACAUAGUUGAGGAUAUGUGAUGUAUAUUUCUUAACUCGGAGUUGUACAACUUCACCUUCGGGUGAUGGGGCCUACCAUGUUUCUUCACUAGCGUAACCCAGUGUCGUACAGCUUCACCUUUGGGUGAUGGACAUGUAUUGCCUUUGGGCGGAUGAUGAGUUGAUGAUAUUUAUGCCAUACCCCCAGCUUCACUGCCGAAAGUAGUGUCGGACAGCGUUUCAUUGUCGAAAUCAGUGUCGGUGUGUGAUGUAUAUAUUUUCUUCUUCGGCGAAACCCGAAAUCGUACAUCUUCACCUACGGAUGAUGGGGCCUACCAUGUUUCUUCACUGGCAUAACCCAGUGUCGUACAGCUUCACCUUUGGUGAUGGACAGGUACUGCCUUCAGGCGACUAUGAUACCCUUAGAGAGUAUAGUAUUGAUGAGAUUUACGGAUUUGCCUUCGGGCGGUGAUAACACAAUUAUUGAGCAUCGUUUUACAUGUACAUGUUUUACGAAUGCAUUUCAUGGCAUGCUAGAGUUUUCAAAACAAGGGGCUAGUAUGUUCAGAAAUAAAAUAGUUUUCGUAUUAUCAGUAUUAUUAUAAACUUUGCUCCACUCACCUUUUCGGUUUUACGCCCCCUCAAGAGUUAGAAUCGAGGCAUACGAUCCCUGUGUCAGGGCAUUUCUGCUUAGGCAUCUUCGAGCCUCCUCUGUGUAGGUUCCAUUCCUCGGUUCGUACCUUUCCAUAAUAAUUCUUUCAUAUUAUUCUUGAUUAGUUGUAUGUUUUGAACACGAUUCUGCAUUUGUGUAUCUCUUUCUAAUUACAUGUUUUAGUUAUAUGCGUGUUUAAAAUGGCUUCGUCGCCCUCGGGUGUCGGCCAGCACGUUCCUACCCUGAUAUUUGGGGAUAUCGGGGUUGGGGCGUGUCAAUUCGAAUAUGCCAAGAAGUGUGGCAAAACAUGGAAAGAUCAUAUGUGUCCACGUAAAACUCCGCGUAGCCCAACAAGAACAUUUUCGUCAUUUUUCAAAUUUCAAAAAAAAUUCUACAUCAUAAAUAUAAACGCGUCGAAGUACUAUAAUACGGAAUGCAGUAUUUAUAUAGUGAAAUUAGAGGAUGAGAUUUCACAGCAAAGGCUCCGCCUCUACAAGUUCUCAACCGUAAAUGCUUGAGUGAAUUGGAUAGCAAUUAAAAAUGGGAUUAACGUCUAUAAUUUCUUUGAUUUUAUAUUAUUGGCGUCAGUUUUUUGCAAUUAGGUUUUAACUUACUGCUACGCCCCAAUCCCGACAUACGUCUAGGAUCGACAUGUGAUGUCACCAAGUAUCUUUAUAUCUAACAUACCCCGCUUUCAGAAUAUGUACCAAGCACGCUCAAGCCUCAAAUUGAGUAGUGAUUUUUCGUAUACUUUAUGGCUACAUCUAACCUCCUCAUUAGACUACCUAUGUACCCUCAAUAGGGAUCAAGCCAUUUGUAGUUCACCAUUCAUUACAGUUCGACGUUUAUCACAGUACGUUCAAAUUGAAAAGCAUAGCAUUCCUCAAUCAAUUAUUAAAACUUAACAAGCAUGAAUUACCAUAUUCAUGGCUACAUAACAAACCCACAUGACAUUCAAGGUUUCCAUUCCAUCCAUCAUAUAAAUCACUAUGUUUUCAACAUGAUACCUCCAUACACAUCAUGUAACAUAUCCAAUAACCAACGAAGCACAAUAUUGUUCUCAAGCCACAUUGAUCAACUAAAAUAAUCAUAAUAUUAACAAUGAUAUCCAACGUCAUUCCACAAUCCCGUCAAUUAAUCCAUUCAUAAAUCAAGGAUGCAUGAUCUUAGCAUUUAACUACGUUAAUCAAUCAAUAUGAUAACAUAUCAUUUCACGUAUUUAAUUAAGGAACUCUAUAAAAUUCCUUACUUGGAUUAUGAGUAACAACAUGGCAAAUCUAAUUUAUAUUCACAAGGUCAAAUGUGGAUAAUUCCCAUUCACUCGAAUCUAGGGUUCUAGAAUAACCUUUUGGAAAUGAGCAAGAGUAAGGAUUCCGGACCACUCAAGGGAACCAAAAUAUCAAUCGGUUUCUCGUAAUCUACCCAGACCUGUCGCAUGUAAAAUUAGUGCCUACAUCAUGGAAAUGGUGCACUGGGCAAAUCAGAACUUGGAUAAGCUGCAAAGCUCGGGUGAGUAACAAUAAUACAAGUAUGCGGUAUUCAAUAAAAACAGACCAUCAAUCAUAAUCUAUAAACAUCAAGUAUAGAAUCAUGCUUUAUGAAAUCAUAAUCAAGCUGCUGAAAACUCCGAAGGAGUCACCCAGACAUCCAACGACUUUUCUAAUUCAAACCACAAUAUUCUCAAAAACCAUUGUUCAUAUGUGCAUUAAAAACUAGGGCUAGAUGGAUGCAGUUCGGCCGAAGCCUACAUAAGUAACCAAACAGGAAGUGACCCCCCAAAGCGGAUUAACCAAGCAGAGCCACCCCUAAGAAAGUAACCAAGUAGGCAGUGACCCCCUAAUGCAAAUUGACCAAGCAGAGUCACUCCUACAACUGUUAGGAAGUGAUCACCCAAUGCGGAUUAACCAAGCAUGAUCACUCUUAAGCAUGCAUGGCCAUAGGAUCAUCCAACACGGAUUAACCAAGUGCGAUCCAUAUAUAGUAUGGAUUAACCAAGCAUACAUGGCCAUAAGGAUCACCCAACGUGGAUUAACCAAGCAGGACCAUUAAUGACCCCCAAUGCGGAUUAACCAAGCAGGGUCAAGAUAAUUAGGUAAGUAGUGACCCCCCAACGCGGAUUAACCAAGCAAAGUCACACCUACAGACCUGUUAGGCAGUGAUCACCCAACGCGGAUUAACCAAGCAUGAUCACCCCUAAGUAUAAAUGGCCAUACUGAUCGCCCAACGUGGAUUAACAAAACGCGAUCCAUAUAUAGUAUGGUCCCCCAAUGCGGAUUAACCAAGCAUGGUCAUAGUCCCCUACUAGCCCUCAAUUUACAAAACAUUUCAAUAUGCAAUUCGAAUCACUUUUUCACAAAUAUUACCAAUCCAUGAAUCAAAUCACAUUUAAUAAAAAUAGAUUGAUGGCCAAUUAUAAAAUAAUCACAUUUUAACAAAAAACACAUUUAUAAAACCAUGUCAUAUCCACAAAGGAUAUUAAUAUAAAGAAUCGGGUAAUCACCAUAUCACAUAUACUAAAGUUACUUACCGAGACAAGUCCGCAAAGCUUCACUGAGUCUCUAGUAAUACUAAUUUUAGUAAUUCAAAUGGUUCAAGACCUGUUGACCAAAAGUCGACGGUGAGGUCCACACCCUAGCAAUUUAAUCAGGAAGAUCCGCACAUCAUAAUCUAGAUCUGUAACUUCCUAUGGUCCACAUUAUGCUCAAAGAACAACAUACUAAAAUCUCAUCGCGAUCCGACGGUUAGAUCUUCGCCAAUUGCUAGAAUUUGGUGACGGUUAACAAUUAAUUUUACUAACUUAGAAAUCUAAUUUAGGAAGAUCCGUACUUGGUUACGAUCCAACGGUCGAAUUGGCGAUUUAUAUUUUGAUCAAGUAAUUUAUCGCAAUGAAACUAAUUUCAAACAAUCAAAUUACGUCAUACGGCUAUCAAUUAUGGAAUCAGAACAUCUAAUUAAACUUAGGAAGACAUCAUCGGCCCACUGGCUUCGUGCCGCCGUGGGUGGCGGUUGACCGUCCCGGCUCGUCGGAAAAUUCAACUAUUUUAAAAAAUUACCAAAUUUUACAGGCAAUUAGAUCUCAGUGAGGGGAUAAAUUUUUAUACCUGUGGCCAAGUCCAAUUCGGCCGGGAAGUGUCCCAAUUUCAUCCAAACUUGCCGAAAACCCUAGAAAUGGGUGUUCCUCGAUUCAUCGCUAAAACGAACUCCGACACCUCAUCCAAUGCUUGGGCCUUGCUCCAGGGGUUGAAGGGAGUCUAUUGGUGGUGUUGAUAGACGGUAAUCAUUGUCGGAAUUACCAUAAAAUGAGAAAACUCGUCGGAAAAUCGUGGACUUUGUGGCUUCGUUUGUAAAAUUGGGUUAGAGAUUGAAAAAUAUAAUACCACAAAGAUGUUGGGUUCGCCGAGGGCUUUCCAUAGACACCAAAAUCACCUCAAUCGGAUGUCGGACGGAAGAGAUACAACCGGAUCAAAGAACUGGGUUGGGGUUUGAAAUCUGGUCAAGGUUGCUUGGGUGUUUCCUCCCCUCUCUCCUUUCCCUCCUUCUUCCCCCUUCUGAUUGGUUCCCUUAACUCACGUAAAUAUAAUUGACCUCUUUGGGAAUUUAAAAUAAAUUUAAAAUCUAUAGUUUAGUAACAUAACUUCAAAUGUCCAUAUCUAUACCGUUAUAAUCCGGACUCGCAAACAACUUUUGCUUAUGCGCUCGUAGUGUCAAGAUUUAUUUGAAUACGUUACUUGUGACCUCAAAAGGUCAACGAAUUUUAGAUAAUUACUUUCCAAACUUCAAACUUUGUAACUAAUUUAAUUAAAAUCUAAAUCCAAAUAAAUUAAUAUAAUUUCUUAAAAAAUAAUAUAAAAUCUCAAUAAUACAAAUACGUAGAUUAUAAUAAUAAAAUUCAGGAAUGUGAUUUCACACUUAUGGGCUUCAAAUCGUCUCCAGAUCUAUUACUUCUAGAUCCUCGGGGUCAAAACAUCAUGGUCGUCAAUAAUAAACAGUGUGGCCCCAGAAAUCACCUGGGAGAGGGAGCAGUUGGAAUCGCCUAAAAUUGCCGAAGUUCGGCUUAGAUACAACUCGAAUCAGUUAGGGAGUUCCAUUCCACUGAGGGUUCCUCGUUUUCAUGUCUUAGUUUAUAUGGAGUUCCUAAACGAAAAGGACAUGGGAAGCAAGGGCGUUUGCAGCAGAAUGGGUGGGCUAAUCUUAUCGGGAAGCAAGGGUGUUUGCAGCAGCUUUCAGAGGAGAAAAGAGAGGGUUCAUUUGAUGGUAGAUCCAUUGAUGAUUGUAGAGGAUUUCAAAACUGUAGGGUUCUUAAUGAUUGCAGAGGAAAAGGGAAGGAGAAAACAUGUUGAAGUGAGAGAUUGAUUUUUACACACGAUUUAUUACUGACGACCAGGAUGUUUUGAUCAUGGGUAGGGAUGGGCAAAUACCCAUUGAUUAUGGGUAACUGUGGUUACCCGUCCAUUUAAAUUAAACGGUUACGAUUAUGGGUAACCGUUUAGAUAAAUAAACGGUUAUAGGUAUAACCGUUUACUCGCGAAAUUUAAAUGGGUGGUUAUGGGUAUUAACCACGGUUAUAAAUGGAUAACCGUUUACCCAUUUAUUUGUAUAUGUAAAACUAACACAAACCAUGUUCUCGAUCCAAUAAUACUUAGCACCCAAUAAAUUAGCAAGGAAUUCAUAGGUCAUUCUCUCAAUAAUACUACUACGAUGAUUCUCAUCAUCAAGGAAUUGGCCAAAUUAAUUUAAAUUCCUUGCGAGUAACCGUGAAAUUGACAGAAAUGCUUUGACAGAAAUGUCAUCUAAACAAAUUUUGUAACCCAAUAAUACUUAGCAAAUAUUAUAUUUACCUUCAUUGGUAACAAUUAAAAAUAUCAUUCGUAAACUAUUAUUUCAAUUAUUGGAAUGGUAUAAGGACUUAAAAAAUUAAAAUAUGGAAAUGUAUGAUGAAUGUACUUAUAACGGUGUUUAAUUGUCAAAAAAAAAAUUAUGACAAUUUUUUUUUAAUUUUCAAGUUGUUAAAAAACAUGUAAACGAGUGAAAAAAGGGUAAUGGUAAAAAAAAAAAAAGAUAAACAUGUUAAAAAUGAUAAAUGGGUAAACGGGUAUUAAACGGUUACGGUUAAAUGUGUGUGCGGUUAUGAGUAUGGUUAACUGUUUAUAAACGGUUAUGGGUAUAGGUAUAACCGUUUAGACAAUUACCCAACGGGUAAACGGUUAUGCGGGUAUGAGCAUAAACGGUUAUGGGUAAAUUAACCGCGGUUACCCGUCCGCAUAACCAUUGCCCAUCCCUAGGUGAUGCCUUGAGCUUUAGCAUGAAUAUGUAGUUUUUAUUUAAUUGCUUAUGAUAUUAUGCAUGCAUACUUUGAAUUAUUAAUCACUGUGCUUAAACUAUCUUUGUGUCUUAAUGAUUCACGACUAUUAGGAUGUUUAGAUAAGUAAUUAGAUGCAAUUUGGUCGGAAUACCACCGGGGAAUUGAGUAUUGCUUCUUGUGAUUAAUAGUUGUAAUUUCACCUAAGAUGAAUACCACAUCUUAGGAGUUGCAUGGUUUUUCAAAAGGUUUUCACAAAACGUAAUGAGUCAUGCAUGUUUAUAUUUGAUCUGAAUACUACAGAUAGAUUGCAUGUUUGAUAUACGUUCUAACUUGAAUACCACGAGUAGAAUAUGCAUUAGGAAAACCUAACCUUCAAAGUUGCAUGGAUAAUUCAUAAGUAAUUAGUAAAUCUACGUAGGAUUGUUAAGAGGAUGGUGGAACCCUAGUACCUUCUUACUUUGAAUUCUAAAAAUUGUUUUUUUUUCCUUCUUUAAAAAUUGCAGAUUUUAGUUAACCUUUUUAAUUAAAUUCGUUUUUCUUAAUUUAGGUCAUUAAAUCAUCAUUUUCCAAAACUUUAUUCUAAAUAAUUAGUUGAGAUUUGAUUUGCGUUAAUUUAUUUAAAUUAAUCCCUAUGGAGAACGACUUUGCUUGAGCCAAUUAUACUACAAUAACCUUAUUUCUCUUGCAAGUUAUACAACAAUAACCUUGUUUCUCUUGCAAAUAUUUUAGUUGUUUUUAACCCUUUUUACGCAAGUGGUAAAAAUCCUAUCAAUAAUCAUUUGAUAACUAAUUUAAUCACAUUAUUAUUAGCAUGGGAAAGAUUUUUUUUUAUAAUCGGCAUUACACUUCUCUUAAGAUGUUUUGAACGGCUUGAUAACACCAAAAUCACUAUUCACAACGUAUGAUGAAUCAAAUUAUUGUUAGCCUAUUGUUAGGUACUAAUAAAAAAAAAAACUAAUUUAUCACUGGCACUACACGCCUCUUAAGAUGUUUCGAACACAAUAUUCAUGAUUUUCAUUUUUUAUUAUAUUUUCUUUCCCCUUCACGUGGGCACAUCAACUUUCACUCAUCAUUCCAUCUUUUUAUUCUUCUCUCUCUACUCAUAUUUAUAUUAUAUUUUAUGAUGACCAAAUUACCUCUGCAUUAUUUGAUAUAUUAUAUUGAGCUGCUUUAGAAUUUUUUUGGUUGAGGGGCAAUUUUGUCCUCAUCUUUUUGUUGAAGCGAUGACCCCAAAUUAGGGCUCUGGCUUUAUAUAUAAGAAAUUUUAUACCAUUGAAAUUGAGGGAAGUUGCAAUCUAACACAGAACCUCAAACGAGAAUCGAAUACAAAACCUCAUCGUCUACGUCAAGCAAAAUAUAAUCAAUGAUGUAAAGACUUGUAUAAAAACAAAGAAUUUCAAAGAUGAAAGAGGAAGAUAUAAAUACAGGUCAAAGAAACAUCAUUUACCGAAAUAUUUACAAGUUACAAUCCAACAAGGUGUCACAAAAAUCAAGUUUACGUACAUCAACACAGAAAUACGAACACAACUAUAAUCAUACAAAAGAAAAGGAAACAAGCAAAAUACAAAAGGGAAAAAGAGGGGAUUGUCACUCCUACAUAGGAAAAACUUGAGCGUAACUGGGAAUUUUCCGCUCUGCCUCUAUCUCUGACUUAUGUGGGAGAUAGAGUCAGGGUGGAUAAAUCCCCCAUUACACGCUAUAAUCCCCGCUAGCUUGGGUACCUGUCGCUACCACAUCUACGACUACCAGUUAUUCAGGGAGGUGAGCGAGAACCGCUUCAAAAUCAAUCCGCAUCACAAGACCAAGCACUUGCCUUCUCAAAACCUGAUGAUGUGGGAUAAGAAUGCACAUAAUCCUCAAACUCACCACCCUUCUUCCCAUCAUAAGCCCCGGGAGACGCCACUGCGUCCGGCAGCGCUGCCUCACCCUCCAAGUACCUCACCACCUGCCUCAUUGUGGGCCUUGCCUUGGGGGUAUUAUUUGAGCACAUCAGCCCUAGCUUCAGCACCACCACAGCCUCCAGAUCAUCAAACUCAGCCCCCAAUCUGGGGUCCACAACUUCAAGAAUUGCACCAGCCUUCCACUUCUCCCAAACCCAAUCAACCAAUAUCAGCUCCUCCGGCAGGGCUUUUCGUUCAAUGGGUCUCCUCCCACACACCAGCUCCAGCAGGAGAGCACCAAGAGCAAACACAUCCGAACUCGGAGUUGGUUUUCCGGUCCGAGUCAACUCGGGAGCUAGGUAACCCAGUGUCCCAACAACCCUAGUUGUUGUAGGGUUUGCUCCAUGCUCAUACAAUUUAGCAAGACCGAAAUCUCCAAGCCUUCCAUUCAUCUCAGAAUCCAAAAGCACGUUUCCUGUUUUUAU